Molecule: ribosomal RNA, 1347 nt
Filed under: uncultured bacterium
Lineage: Bacteria
Description: bacterial SSU rRNA
Rfam family: Bacterial small subunit ribosomal RNA
Source: RNAcentral
GACGAACGCUGGCGGCGUGCUUAACACAUGCAAGUCGAACGGAAAGGCCCUGCUUUUGUGGGGUGCUCGAGUGGCGAACGGGUGAGUAACACGUGAGUAACCUGCCCUUGACUUUGGGAUAACUUCAGGAAACUGGGGCUAAUACCGGAUAGGAGCUCCUGCUGCAUGGUGGGGGUUGGAAAGUUUCGGCGGUUGGGGAUGGACUCGCGGCUUAUCAGCUUGUUGGUGGGGUAGUGGCUUACCAAGGCUUUGACGGGUAGCCGGCCUGAGAGGGUGACCGGCCACAUUGGGACUGAGAUACGGCCCAGACUCCUACGGGAGGCAGCAGUGGGGAAUAUUGCACAAUGGGCGGAAGCCUGAUGCAGCAACGCCGCGUGCGGGAUGACGGCCUUCGGGUUGUAAACCGCUUUCGCCUGUGACGAAGCGUGAGUGACGGUAAUGGGUAAAGAACCACCGGCUAACUACGUGCCAGCAGCCGCGGUGAUACGUAGGGUGCGAGCGUUGUCCAGAUUUAUUGCGCAUAAAGGGCUCGUAGGUGGUUGAUCGCGUCAGAAGUGUAAUCUUGGGGCUUAACCCUGAGCGUGCUUUCGAUACAGGUUGACUUGAGGAAGGUAGGGGAGAAUGGAAUUCCUGGUGGAGCGGUGGAAUGCCCACAUAUCAGGAGGAACACCAGUGGAGAAGGCGGUUUUCCUGGCCUUUCCCGACGUUGAGGAGCGAAGCCGUGGGGAGCGAACAGGCCUUAGAUCCCCUGGUAGUGCACGCUGUAAACGGUGGGUACUAGGUGUGGGGUCCAUUCCACGGGUUCCGUGCCGUAGCUAACGCUUUAAGUACCCCGCCUGGGGAGUACGGCCGCAAGGCUAAAACUCAAAGGAAUUGACGGGGCCCCGCACAAGCGGCGGAGCAUGCGGAUUAAUUCGAUGCAACGCGUAGAACCUUACCUGGGUUCGACAUGGAUCGGGAGUGCUCAGAGAUGGGUGUGCCUCUUUUGGGGUCGGUUCACAGGUGGUGCAUGGUUGUCGUCAGCUCGUGUCGUGAGAUGUUGGGUUAAGUCCCGCAACGAGCGCAACCCUUGUUCACUGUUGCCAGCACGUUAUGGUGGGGACUCAGUGGAGACCGCCGGGGUCAACUCGGAGGAAGGUGGGGAUGACGUCAAGUCAUCAUGCCCCUUAUGUCCAGGGCUUCACGCAUGCUACAAUGGCUGGUACAGAGAGUGGCGAGCCUGUGAGGGUGAGCGAAUCUCGGAAAGCCGGUCUCAGUUCGGAUUGGGGUCUGCAACUCGACCUCAUGAAGUCGGAGUCGGUAGUAAUCGCAGAUCAGCAACGCUGCGGUGAAUACGUUCCCGGGGCU